Molecule: non-coding RNA, 1055 nt
Organism: Theobroma cacao (cacao)
Lineage: Eukaryota; Viridiplantae; Streptophyta; Magnoliopsida; Malvales; Malvaceae
Source: RefSeq, a predicted model, not a curated record
AGACUGUAAGUGAGCAAAGAUGGAAUAAAGUGACUGCUAUUUUCAAUUGUCCCACUGCUACAAAUGUAUCUUUGGAGCUGCGCAACUGUUAUACUUCUCUGCUUCUUCAAUAUGAACAAGUCUACUUUCCUAAAGCUCCUGAUUUGAGUCCUGUUUCUUCUGAACCCAUCCAUCACACAUAAUCGUUCUCAAGAGACAGUACGAUCAUCCAUAGAAAUUCAAGCAGAAAGGCCAACCUCAACAGCGGGCUCUCUUGCCAAUGAAAUCAUUCAUGGUAAAUUCAACAGUGGCUAUUUUGUCACUGUCACAAUUGGCUCAGAAAAGCUACAAGGGGUACUUUAUCAGGCUACAGAGAGUGCAGCAUCCCGAGCACCACAAGAAAAUGGCACAUUUGCCAGCAAGAGUGAUCUUGUGCAACAGCGGAGGCACAGGAAGCAAUCUGCAAUAAAGAGGGAUCCUUUACAACAAUAACGAAACCGUAGCGGUUAUAACUUCUUCUUCGCAGAGCAAUGUGAUAGUCUUAAGGCAUUUCACAGAGGAAAGAGCAGAGACCUUAUGAAACUUAUAGGUGAAAUGUGGAAGAACCUGAAUGAAUCAGAAGAAGCGGUUUACAAGGAGAAAGCGCUUAAAGAUAAGGAGAUACAUGGACAUGAGUUGAAAGAUUACAAAAAAAAUUUAAGGAUAGUGCCUCCACAGUUAGGAUUGGCAAAAGCUGAAGGUGAUUUUGAAUGAUAACAGCUCAAGUUAUCAUGAACUGUUUGGAGAACAAGGCAGGGUCUGAAGUGAAUUAGAGUAACAAGAAAAGUCAGGAGAUGCUACCCUCAGAUGUGGAUGUUGUACAGUUAAGUAGAAUGCCUUCCUUAGACAUGGAUAUGAUCUGGGAUGCUCUUUUGGUCUCAGAUUCAUGACAUACUCCCUUUAUUUUCAUACAUUUGAAUGAAAAUAAAUUGAUUCAUAUUUUGCAAUCUUUUUUUUUCAUCUUGAAACUGGUAUAUUUGUAUCAGCUUUUACUAGCACAUAGUCACAUAGCUAAUCAAACUUCCUUAUGAAACAGA